GACGAACGCUGGCGGCGUGCUUAACACAUGCAAGUCGAGCGGUAAGGCCCUUUCGGGGGUACACGAGCGGCGAACGGGUGAGUAACACGUGGGUGACCUGCCCUCAGCUCUGGGAUAAGCCUGGGAAACCGGGUCUAAUACUGGAUAUGACUCCAUGACGCAUGUUGUGGGGUGGAAAGCCUUGUGCGGCUGAGGAUGGGCCCGCGGCCUAUCAGCUUGUUGGUGGGGUGANGGCCUACCAAGGCGACGACGGGUAGCCGGCCUGAGAGGGCGACCGGCCACACUGGGACUGAGACACGGCCCAGACUCCUACGGGAGGCAGCAGUGGGGAAUAUUGGACAAUGGGCGCAAGCCUGAUCCAGCGAUGCCGCGUGUGUGAAGAAGGCCUGCGGGGUUGUAAAGCACUUUCAGUAGGGAAGAAAAGCCGAGUGCUAAUAUCACUCGGUCUUG
This 450-nucleotide ribosomal RNA is filed under the name uncultured bacterium. RNAcentral's name for it is "bacterial SSU rRNA". It matches the Rfam family "Bacterial small subunit ribosomal RNA", at positions 28 to 472 of the family's 1533-position model. The record is from RNAcentral.